AGGAUUCCCCUAGUAACUGCGAGUGAAGCGGGAAAAGCUCAAAUUUAAAAUCUGGCGGUCUCUGGCCGUCCGAGUUGUAAUCUAGAGAAGUGAUGCCCGUGCUGGACCGUGUAUAAGUCUCCUGGGAUGGGGCGUCAUAGAGGGUGAGAAUCCCGUCUUUGACACGGACUACCAGUGCAUUGUGGUAUGCUCUCAAAGAGUCGAGUUGUUUGGGAAUGCAGCUCAAAAUGGGUGGUAAAUUCCAUCUAAAGCUAAAUAUUGGCGAGAGACCGAUAGCGAACAAGUACCGUGAGGGAAAGAUGAAAAGAACUUUGGAAAGAGAGUUAAACAGUACGUGAAAUUGCUGAAAGGGAAACGCUUGAAGUCAGUCGCGUUGGCCAGGGAUCAGCCUUGCUUUUGCAUGGUGUACUUUCUGGUUGACGGGUCAGCAUCAAUUUUGACCGCUGGAAAAGGGCCUGGGGAAUGUGGCAGCUUCGGCUGUGUUAUAGCCCCUAGUCACAUACGGCGGUUGGGAUUGAGGAACUCAGCACGCCGCAAGGCCGGGUUUCGACCACGUCCGUGCUUAGGAUGCUGGCAUAAUGGCUUUAAGCGACCCGUCUUGAAACACGGACCAAGGAGUCUAACAUGCCUGCGAGUAUUUGGGUGGAAAACUCAAGUGCGUAAUGAAAGUGAAAGUUGAGAUCCCUGUCGUGGGGAGCAUCGACGCCCGGACCAGAACUUUUGGGACGGAUCCGCGGUGGAGCAUGUAUGUUGGGACCCGAAAGAUGGUGAACUAUGCCUGAAUAGGGUGAAGCCAGAGGAAACUCUGGUGGAGGCUCGUAGCGAUUCUGACGUGCAAAUCGAUCGUCAAAUUUGGGUAUAGGGGCGAAA
RNAcentral lists this ribosomal RNA (870 nucleotides) under Agaricus sp. ZRLWXH3078. Its description in RNAcentral is "eukaryotic LSU rRNA". It matches the Rfam family "Eukaryotic large subunit ribosomal RNA", at positions 71 to 928 of the family's 3401-position model. The record is from RNAcentral. Lineage: Eukaryota; Fungi; Basidiomycota; Agaricomycetes; Agaricales; Agaricaceae.